AUAGGAGGAGCUUAGGUGGAGUAGAUUCGCCGUCAACGUCGCGCCGCGGAGCCGUUCGAGCCUACGUUUGUCGCCGUAGCAUCGCGAGGAGGCCGGGCGAGGGUGUGUUACCGCCGUCCUCGACGUCGCACAGAUACUAGGGUCGCUGUCAAGGUGGGUGUGCCGUCAAAUUGCUUCUUUAUUUCCAAGCUUCUUCAAAUUCGAGCUAGGUGCUGUCCCUGCAGAUUUCCAACGUCGAUCGUUGGCGUUUCGGAUCGUACUCGACGUAGGAGCGUCGGAUUUUGACGAGAUUUGGUUCAUUGGAUUCAGGACUUCGAGAGGAA
Molecule: long non-coding RNA, 323 nt
Filed under: Ananas comosus (pineapple)
Lineage: Eukaryota; Viridiplantae; Streptophyta; Magnoliopsida; Poales; Bromeliaceae
Description: long non-coding RNA (ACOM_LNC003601)
Source: RNAcentral